CAAGUUUAAAUACAAUUUAAGGAUAUAUCAUGAUUGAAGAUUUAGAAUAAUAAGAUGGCUAUAAUUCACAAUGUAGUUGUGAAUUAGCAUGAACAAACUUUUGACUGAACAAGUAUUACAUAUGAAUAAUAUAUAUCUGGACCAACUGGAAAUGAAGGUGAUCAGCCUUUCAUACCUGACUUAUACAUACAAGAUGUACAGAGUACAAUUCUACAUGGCAAUCAGUAACGAUUAAC
RNAcentral lists this long non-coding RNA (236 nucleotides) under Panax ginseng (ginseng). Its description in RNAcentral is "long non-coding RNA (PGIN_LNC008088)". Lineage: Eukaryota; Viridiplantae; Streptophyta; Magnoliopsida; Apiales; Araliaceae. The record is from RNAcentral.